AGUGAACGCUGGCGGCAGGCCUAAUACAUGCAAGUCGAACGGCAGCACAGCAGAGCUUGCUCUGUGGGUGGCGAGUGGCGGACGGGUGAGGAAUACAUGGGAAUCUGCCCAGUCGUGGGGGAUAACGUAGGGAAACUUACGCUAAUACCGCAUGCGCCCUUCGGGGGAAAGCCGGGGACCUUCGGGCCUGGCGCGAUUGGAUGAGCCCAUGUCGGAUUAGCUAGUUGGCGGGGUAAUGGCCCACCAAGGCGACGAUCCGUAGCUGGUCUGAGAGGAUGAUCAGCCACACUGGAACUGAGACACGGUCCAGACUCCUACGGGAGGCAGCAGUAGGGAAUAUUGGACAAUGGGCGCAAGCCUGAUCCAGCCAUGCCGCGUGAGUGAAGAAGGCCCUCGGGUUGUAAAGCUCUUUUGUCCGGAAGAAAAGCGCCGGGUUAAUACCCUGGUGUCCUGACGGUACCGGAAGAAUAAGCACCGGCUAACUUCGUGCC
RNAcentral lists this ribosomal RNA (491 nucleotides) under uncultured bacterium. RNAcentral describes it as "bacterial SSU rRNA". It matches the Rfam family "Bacterial small subunit ribosomal RNA", at positions 29 to 509 of the family's 1533-position model. The record is from RNAcentral.